GAGUUACCAGGGAAACAAUAAACAGUUAUAGGCAAUGCCUUGUUUCUCACCACGUUCUCUAAACCUUUUCAGUUUGUCUUUUAGCAUUGUUGAACUGAAAAGGUCAUUGAGACUUUACUUCAUGUCUAAAUGGUUCUAAAAAUUCCCCAGGGUUCCAAGACUUGCUGUGGACUAGAACUGCAAUCAGUAGAGGUAUAGAAACUGUCAGUUGCUGGAACAGGAUCCGUUUGGAAUAAGGCAGAUAAAUGCACUAAGAGACUGCUGAGAACUGAUUGGGCAUCAAGACACUGAACUGUAGAAAAUAAUGGAGCCUGACUGUGAGAACUGUCUGUAUUCAAACAUGUUAAGAGCUGAAUAUUUAAAAUUUGUUUGGCUCACCAAGCUUGGCUUUCUGAAGACAACAGAAGUGGGAUAGAGAGAUCAAAAAGAAAAAAAAAAUCAUAAAAGUAUUGCUAAACAAUCAAAUGCAAGGUAUUUUGUCUUCUUUCACUCCUUAAAAGAAAAUCAAUCAAUUAAUACACAAAGAUAAAAGUGAGAAACCUACUGUAAUCUACUAAGGUCCAGGAAUUUAAAGAAUCAAAUGUACCUUCUGGGUUUCGGAAUCCAUCGGGGAGAAUGUAGAGGGUGAUGAGAAGACUUUGCAUUUGACCAAAAAGCACUAGUAAAUAAGGAGUUAAAAUGAAGGCAGGCUCGCUGGUUUGCUGAGAUCUGUCAGAGUCUGACUGGCUGGCUACAUAUCUGUCUCUGGAACAAUAGGUACCUGUAUUCUGCACGGACUGCUGGGCAGCACUAGCACUCUGGAGAAGGUCUGCCGCUGUCUGCACUUUCCUGGUGAGAAUCCCCAAUGACAGUCCCACUU
Molecule: long non-coding RNA, 859 nt
Filed under: Homo sapiens (human)
Lineage: Eukaryota; Metazoa; Chordata; Mammalia; Primates; Hominidae
Description: rhabdomyosarcoma 2 associated transcript
Source: RNAcentral